CCUACGGGCGGCAGCAGUGGGGAAUCUUCGGCAAUGGAGGAAACUCUGAUGCAGCGACGCCGCGUGAGUGAAGAAGUAUUUCGGUUUGUAAAGCUCUAUCAGCAGGGAAGAAAAUGACGGUAACUGACUAAGCAGCCCCUGAUAACUACGUGCCAGCAGCCGCGGUAAUACGUAGGGGGCAAGCGUUAUCCGGAUUUAAUGGGUGUAAAGGGAGCGUAGACGGUGUUGCAAGUCUGAAGUGAAAGCCGCGGGCUCAACUCCGGGGCUGCGUUUGAAACUGUGAGACUGGAGUGCAGGAGAGGAAAGUGGAAUUCCAUGUGUAGCGGUGAAAUGCGUAGAUAUCAGGAGGAACACCAGUGGCGAAGGCGGCUUACUGGACUGUAACUGACGUUGAGGCUCGAAAGCGUGGGGAGCAAACAGGAUUAGAUACCCGAGUAGUC
RNAcentral lists this ribosomal RNA (440 nucleotides) under uncultured bacterium. Its description in RNAcentral is "partial 16S ribosomal RNA". It matches the Rfam family "Bacterial small subunit ribosomal RNA", at positions 338 to 795 of the family's 1533-position model. The record is from RNAcentral.